UACGGGGGGGGGGCAAGCGUUGUUCGGAAUUACUGGGCGUAAAGGGCUCGUAGGCGGCCAACUAAGUCGGAUGUGAAAUCCCCAGGCUCAACUUGGGAACUGCAUCCGAUACUGGAUGGCUUGAAUUCGGGAGAGGGAUGCAGAAUUCCAGGUGUAGCGGUGAAAUGCGUAGAUAUCUGGAGGAAUACCGGUGGCGAAGGCGGCAUCCUGGACCGGCAUUGACGCUGAUGAGCGAAAGCUAGGGGAGCAAACGG
This 254-nucleotide ribosomal RNA is filed under the name uncultured prokaryote. Its description in RNAcentral is "partial 16S ribosomal RNA". It matches the Rfam family "Bacterial small subunit ribosomal RNA", at positions 522 to 775 of the family's 1533-position model. The record is from RNAcentral.